GGGCCGUAGCUCAGUGGUAGAGCUUCUGUUUUACAUGCAGAAGUUCUCCGGUUCAAUCCCUGGGGUCUCCA
Molecule: non-coding RNA, 71 nt
Organism: Podarcis lilfordi (Lilford's wall lizard)
Lineage: Eukaryota; Metazoa; Chordata; Lepidosauria; Squamata; Lacertidae
Source: the annotation of a GenBank genome assembly